GAUGAAGAACGUAGCGAAAUGCGAUAAGUAAUGCGAAUUGCAGAAUUUCCGUGAGUCAUCGAAUCUUUGAACGCACAUUGCGCCCACUGGUAUUCCGGUGGGCAUGCCUGUUCGAGCGUCAUUAUCCUCCCUCAAACCUCGGGUUUGGUGUUGGACCCAAGUUGUGUGAACAACUGGUCUCAAAGACAAUGACGGCGUCCGUGGGACCCUCGGUGCAACGAGCUUUUAGGAGCACGCGUCGAGUUUCAAGGACCUUCCGGGCCGGUCUCCUCUACUAUUUUUACAAGGUUGACCUCGGAUCAGGUAGGAAUACCCGCUGAACUUAAGCAUAUCAAUAAGCGGAGGA
RNAcentral lists this unclassified non-coding RNA (346 nucleotides) under soil metagenome. RNAcentral describes it as "partial contains 5.8S ribosomal RNA, internal transcribed spacer 2, and large subunit ribosomal RNA". The stretch from base 1 to 121 matches the Rfam family "5.8S ribosomal RNA", at positions 35 to 154 of the family's 154-position model. The record is from RNAcentral.